AUUGAACGCUGGCGGCAGGCCUAACACAUGCAAGUCGAGCGGAUGAAGGGAGCUUUCUCCUGGAUUCAGCGUCGGACGGGUGAGUAAUUCCUAUGAAUCUGCCUGGUAGUGGUGGAUAACGUCCGGAAACGGGCGCUAAUACCGCAUACGUCCUGAUGGUGAAAGUGGGUGAUCUUCGGACCUCACGCUAUCAGAUGAGCCUAGGUCGGAUUAGCUAGUUGGUGGGGUAAAGGCCUACCAAGGCGACGAUCCGUAACUGGUCUGAGAGGAUGAUCAGUCACACUGGAACUGAGACAAGGUCCAGAGUCCUACGGGAGGCAGCAGUGGGGAAUAUUGGACAAUGGGCGAAAGCAUGAUACAGCCAUGCCGCGUGUGUGAAGAAGGUCUUCGGAUUGUAAAGAACUUUAAGUUGGGAGGAAGGGAAGUAAGUUAAUACCUUGCUGUUUUGACGUUACCAACAGAAUAAGCACCGGCUAACUUCGUG
This 484-nucleotide ribosomal RNA is filed under the name uncultured bacterium. RNAcentral's name for it is "partial 16S ribosomal RNA". It matches the Rfam family "Bacterial small subunit ribosomal RNA", at positions 30 to 507 of the family's 1533-position model. The record is from RNAcentral.